GAGCAUGGCUCAGGACGAACGCUGGCGGCGUGCUUAACACAUGCAAGUCGAACGGAGCACCCUUGACUGAGGUUUCGGCCAAAUGAUAGGAAUGCUUAGUGGCGGACUGGUGAGUAACGCGUGAGGAACCUGCCUUCCAGAGGGGGGACAACAGUUGGAAACGACUGCUAAUACCGCAUGACGCAUGACCGGGGCAUCCCGGGCAUGUCAAAGAUUUUAUCGCUGGAAGAUGG
This 233-nucleotide ribosomal RNA is filed under the name uncultured bacterium. RNAcentral's name for it is "partial 16S ribosomal RNA". It matches the Rfam family "Bacterial small subunit ribosomal RNA", at positions 15 to 228 of the family's 1533-position model. The record is from RNAcentral.